Long non-coding RNA from Mustela lutreola (European mink), 1510 nucleotides. RefSeq lists it as uncharacterized. The record is from RefSeq and is a predicted model, not a curated record. The transcript is spliced from 4 exons. Lineage: Eukaryota; Metazoa; Chordata; Mammalia; Carnivora; Mustelidae.
GGGGGGGGGAGAUGGGGGAAGGGUGGAGAGGCGGUACGGAGGGGCGAAUGUUAGGUGUGCAGGUGUACCUAUUUUGGUAGUACUAGCUGGCUUGGCGUUGAAGAGGCUUCUUGUUUGCGUCCUGAUGAAAGAGGGAAAACCACCAGUUUCCAUGUUCUUAAGCAGAUGCCCUGUGAUCUUAAAAUUUCUUCAGUAACUUUAACCAUAUUUGUACGCUCUAGCCUAGUAAUUUCACAUGUGGGAUAACCAUUUUAGGAAAUUGGCCUACCAGAGAAAAAAUAAAACAAUGAUGUCCGUUGUAGGAGUAUAACAGGAAAAUUGAAAAAGAACCUCAAGUUCCACGAGAGAAGUGGUUAAGUAAACUAACAUCUUCAGAAUGAGAUAUUUUGUGAUGUUUUCCACAUUUAAGGUAGUUUCAACAUCAAUGUAAAUUUUUUCUAUAUAUAAUAAUUCAUCAUUUACUCUUCAACAAAGAAUUGAUGAGUUGGAGAAGUGCUCUAUUCAUGGGUUGGCCACAGGAGAAGGAUAGAACAUAAUCGCUGCCCUAAAAGAGAGCAUCUUCUAGUAGAGGAGCUCAGAUACAUAUACAAAAAACAGCUGGGUAUCCGUACAAGUCAGCGUGUGAUGUUGGUUCCAAAGUUGACCUGUAUAGGUUUAUACACAAAUACAUAUUUUAUGGAAACACAAGAAACUAGUCAUUGUGGCUGCCUCCACAGUGGGAACUGUAGGACAAGGGAAGAAAGGGCUGAGGACAGAGCUGGGGCCAACUACUGCGGCACAGAGCGUGGACCACCGUGGGCCCACAGUGUAUAUUUCAGUUUGCUUUUGUCGUCUGAAUGACCAAGCCCUGGGAUUCUGCAGCUGUAGCUGUCAAGAAACUGUCACAGGGACUUUCCCCACAAUGUGGACAACCCCAGGAUUCAGGCCUCAGCUUCCCAGGCUGAGAGGCCAAUGGUGGGGGAGCUCAGCGCUCAGCUCCAGCAAAGGCAGACCGUCCUCCCUUUCCUCCCAUCCUUAGGCAGGAGCUGGCAGGAGAUCAGAUGCUACUUUAAUUCCAAGGGGCUCAUGAACAAAAGCUGCCAAGUUGCUUAGAAACCUGCUUUUCUGAGGGUUCACCAGGUUUUCCUUUGUUUCUAUGGCAUUGUGUGUGUGAGUGUGCAUGAGCACACUGAGGGCCAUCACCCUGCCAGGUCUGCAGCAAGCGGGACCAGAACGUGAGAACUGCGGGCUGCCUGGGAUACCGUUGCAGUCCCCAGGUAUCGCCAAGCCAGGCAGCCCAGGCGUUUGAGGGGCAACAAAGGGGAGCCAGCUGCCUUCGGCCAGAGGUGGACAGAGCUGUGAGCAGCUGCAGGAAGGAAGCUUUGGAUACUGAAUCCUGUACUCACUCGCUUCAGCAACAGCCCAGAAGCCCUAGCAUGGGAGAUACCAACAACAGAACCGAGAGGGGACACCACUCUCAUCCCCUCGCUGAGCUUGGAAAAUAAAUUCUUGAGAUCAGUGUCACUGCAAA